GUGGGGAAUAUUGGACAAUGGGCGGAAGCCUGAUCCAGCCAUGCCGCGUGUGUGAAGAAGGCCUUUUGGUUGUAAAGCACUUUAAGCGAGGAGGAGGCUCCUUUAGUUAAUACCUAAAGAGAGUGGACGUUACUCGCAGAAUAAGCACCGGCUAACUCUGUGCCAGCAGCCGCGGUAAUACAGAGGGUGCGAGCGUUAAUCGGAUUUACUGGGCGUAAAGCGCGCGUAGGUGGCCAAUUAAGUCAAAUGUGAAAUCCCCGAGCUUAACUUGGGAAUUGCAUUCGAUACUGGUUGGCUAGAGUAUGGGAGAGGAUGGUAGAAUUCCAGGUGUAGCGGUGAAAUGCGUAGAGAUCUGGAGGAAUACCGAUGGCGAAGGCAGCCAUCUGGCCUAAUACUGACGCUGAGGUACGAAAGCAUGGGGAGCAAACAGGAUUAGAUACCCCUGUAGUCC
This 451-nucleotide ribosomal RNA is filed under the name uncultured bacterium. RNAcentral's name for it is "bacterial SSU rRNA". It matches the Rfam family "Bacterial small subunit ribosomal RNA", at positions 354 to 796 of the family's 1533-position model. The record is from RNAcentral.